This 552-nucleotide long non-coding RNA is filed under the name Anas platyrhynchos platyrhynchos (common mallard). RNAcentral's name for it is "lncRNA (ENSAPLG00000019881.1)". Lineage: Eukaryota; Metazoa; Chordata; Aves; Anseriformes; Anatidae. The record is from RNAcentral.
AUGCUACUGCUCUGCAGUGCUGCUCCAACACGUGUUCACCUGACCCCCUCCGGCUGGGGAGGCUGCUGGGGCAGAAAUAAGGAAAAAACUGGAAACCAUGUGCGAGCUGAGUGGGAUAAAGGGGCAGAAGUUGAGAUUGCAACGGCCCCAGUCCUUCCUGUUUCUCCAAGCCUGCUUGCAAUGCAUUUCCUUGCAAGUGAAGCAGUGUUCCCAGAGCUGGAACGCGUUUUCAUCCUGUCCGAUGCUGCUGCCCAUGCUGGUAACCUGCUGGCCUCACCAUGUGUUGGACCAUACCUGGACAGUGAUUUGGGCAGAACUCUGGAGGAAGGACGAUUGAAACACCCCAGCAGAAGAAAUGUGAGACUCCUGGAUUGCAGCAGCAAGCAAUUCCAGGUGGUUCAGGUUAGCCUGCUUACAGCACACACAGCCUUCUGCCACCGAAUCCAUGGCACAUCUGCUGCAGGAGAAGCGUGCUUGGUUCUGCGCCUUGGCCUGAUUCCAGGAGGGUGAAGUAGACCUAGAGGAGAGCCUGGAGUCUCCUCUGGCAAAGAG